UGUGACUCAAAUAUUAGCAAGUGAUUAACCUCGUCGCUCUCGUGGUUAUAAUUUGGCGGUUUAAGUGACGGAGCAGGUCACCGUGGUACCUAUAUUGCUAUCUCAAAUCUUGUCGACCGAGUCAAAACUGUCCAAGCGAUUAAUGCGUUCCAAUGUAUCAAGCUGAUCCAGAAUAGACGCCACAGUUCGUUGAAACAGCG
Long non-coding RNA from Xenia sp. Carnegie-2017, 200 nucleotides. RefSeq lists it as uncharacterized. The transcript is spliced from 2 exons. Lineage: Eukaryota; Metazoa; Cnidaria; Anthozoa; Malacalcyonacea; Xeniidae. The record is from RefSeq and is a predicted model, not a curated record.